RNAcentral lists this ribosomal RNA (468 nucleotides) under uncultured bacterium. RNAcentral describes it as "partial 16S ribosomal RNA". It matches the Rfam family "Bacterial small subunit ribosomal RNA", at positions 28 to 507 of the family's 1533-position model. The record is from RNAcentral.
GACGAACGCUGGCGGCGUGCUUAACACAUGCAAGUCGAACGGAAAGGCCCUGCUUUUGUGGGGUGCUCGAGUGGCGAACGGGUGAGUAACACGUGAGUAACCUGCCCUUGACUUUGGGAUAACUUCAGGAAACUGCGGCUCAUACCGGAUAUGAGCUCCUGCUGCAUGGUGGGGGUUGGAAAGUUUCGGCGGUUGUGGAUGGACUCGCGGCUUAUCAGCUUGUUGGUGGGGUAGUGGCUUACCAAGGCUUUGACGGGUAGCCGGCCUGGGAGGGUGACCGGCCACAUGGGGACUGAGAUACGGCGCAGAAUCCUACGGGAGGCAGCAGUGGGGAAUAUUGCACAAUGGGCGGAAGCCUGAUGCAGAAACGCCGCGUGCGGGAUGACGGCCUUCGGGUGGUAAACAGAUUUCGACUGUGACGAAGCGUGAGUGACGGUAAUGGGUAAAGAAGCACCGGCUAACUACGUG